RNAcentral lists this ribosomal RNA (429 nucleotides) under Acidobacteriota bacterium. RNAcentral's name for it is "Acidobacteria bacterium partial 16S ribosomal RNA". It matches the Rfam family "Bacterial small subunit ribosomal RNA", at positions 355 to 776 of the family's 1533-position model. The record is from RNAcentral. Lineage: Bacteria; Pseudomonadati; Acidobacteriota.
UGGGGAAUUUUGGACAAUGGGGGAAACCCUGAUCCAGCUAUCCCGCGUGUGCGAUGAAGGCCUUCGGGUUGUAAAGCACUUUUGGCAGGAAAGAAACGUCAUGGGUUAAUACCCCGUGAAACUGACGGUACCUGCAGAAUAAGCACCGGCUAACUACGUGCCAGCAGCCGCGGUAAUACGUAGGGUGCAAGCGUUAAUCGGAAUUACUGGGCGUAAAGCGUGCGCAGGCGGUUCGGAAAGAAAGAUGUGAAAUCCCAGAGCUCAACUUUGGAACUGCAUUUUUAACUACCGGGCUAGAGUGUGUCAGAGGGAGGUGGAAUUCCGCGUGUAGCAGUGAAAUGCGUAGAUAUGCGGAGGAACACCGAUGGCGAAGGCAGCCUCCUGGGAUAACACUGACGCUCAUGCACGAAAGCGUGGGGAGCAAACAGG